UUGGUUAAGUUAGAAAGGGCGCACGGUGGAUGCCUUGGCACUAGGAGCCGAAGAAGGACGGGACUAACACCGAUAUGCUUUGGGGAGCUGUACGUAAGCGUUGAUCCAGAGAUUUCCGAAUGGGGGAACCCACUAUCUUUAGUCGGAUAGUAUCCUUACGUGAAUACAUAGCGUGAGGAAGGCAGACCCAGGGAACUGAAACAUCUAAGUACCUGGAGGAAGAGAAAGAAAAAUCGAUUUCCUGAGUAGCGGCGAGCGAAACGGAAAGAGCCCAAACCAAGAAGCUUGCUUCUUGGGGUUGUAGGACACUCUAUACGGAGUUACAAAAGAAAGUUAUAAAUGAAGCGGUCUGGAAAGGCCCGCCAAAGACGGUAACAGCCCGGUAGUUGAAAUGGCUUUCCCUCCAGAGUGGAUCCUGAGUACGGCGGAACACGUGAAAUUCCGUCGGAAUCCGGGAGGACCAUCUCCCAAGGCUAAAUACUCCCUAGUGACCGAUAGUGAACCAGUACCGUGAGGGAAAGGUGAAAAGCACCCCGGAAGGGGAGUGAAACAGUUCCUGAAACCGUGUGCCUACAAGUAGUUAGAGCCCGUUAAUGGGUGAUAGCGUGCCUUUUGUAGAAUGAACCGGCGAGUUACGAUUUGUUGCAAGGUUAAGCGGAAAAAGCGGAGCCGUAGCGAAAGCGAGUCUGAAUAGGGCGCAUAAGUAACAGGUCGUAGACCCGAAACCAGGUGAUCUACCCAUGUCCAGGAUGAAGGUAAGGUAAUACUUACUGGAGGUCCGAACCCACGCACGUUGAAAAGUGCGGGGAUGAGGUGUGGGUAGCGGAGAAAUUCCAAUCGAACUUGGAGAUAGCUGGUUCUCUCCGAAAUAGCUUUAGGGCUAGCCUCGAGGUAAAGAGUCAUGGAGGUAGAGCACUGUUUGGACUAGGGGCCCUUCUCGGGUUACCGAAUUCAGAUAAACUCCGAAUGCCAUGUACUUAUACUCGGGAGUCAGACUGCGAGUGAUAAGAUCCGUAGUCGAAAGGGAAACAGCCCAGACCACCAGUUAAGGUCCCCAAAUAUAUGUUAAGUGGAAAAGGAUGUGGGGUUGCUUAGACAACCAGGAUGUUGGCUUAGAAGCAGCCACCAUUGAAAGAGUGCGUAAUAGCUCACUGGUCGAGUGACCCCGCGCCGAAAAUGUACCGGGGCUAAACAUAUUACCGAAACUGUGGAUGAACCUCUUUAGAGGUUCGUGGUAGGAGAGCGUUCUAAGGGCGGUGAAGUCAGACCGGAAGGACUGGUGGAGCGCUUAGAAGUGAGAAUGCCGGUAUGAGUAGCGAAAGAAGGGUGAGAAUCCCUUCCACCGAAUAUCUAAGGUUUCCUGAGGAAGGCUCGUCCGCUCAGGGUUAGUCGGGACCUAAGCCGAGGCCGAUAGGCGUAGGCGAUGGACAACAGGUAGAGAUUCCUGUACCAGUGCUAAUUGUUUAACCGAUGGGGUGACACAGAAGGAUAGGGAAUCGCACGAAUGGAAAUGUGCGUCCAAGCAGUGAGUGUGAGAAGUAGGCAAAUCCGCUUCUCGCGAAGCAUGAGCUGUGAUGGGGAAGGAAAUUAAGUACGGAAGUUCCUGAUUUCACGCUGUCAAGAAAAGCCUCUAGGAAGAGUAGUACUGCCCGUACCGCAAACCGACACAGGUAGAUGAGGAGAGAAUCCUAAGGUGAGCGAGAGAACUCUCGUUAAGGAACUCGGCAAAAUGACCCCGUAACUUCGGGAGAAGGGGUGCUCUAUUAGGGUGCAAGCCCG
This 1779-nucleotide ribosomal RNA is filed under the name Listeria monocytogenes. RNAcentral's name for it is "partial 23S ribosomal RNA". It matches the Rfam family "Bacterial large subunit ribosomal RNA", at positions 1 to 1770 of the family's 2925-position model. Lineage: Bacteria; Bacillati; Bacillota; Bacilli; Caryophanales; Listeriaceae. The record is from RNAcentral.